RNAcentral lists this long non-coding RNA (462 nucleotides) under Mytilus galloprovincialis (Mediterranean mussel). The record is from RNAcentral. Lineage: Eukaryota; Metazoa; Mollusca; Bivalvia; Mytilida; Mytilidae.
GGGGGGGGGGCUAGGAUGAAAUUUGAAAAAAUAGGCAGGACAGGAGUUUUGAGUAAAAGAAAAAAAGGCAGGAUGAGACAAUUGCCAAAAAAAAAGUCAGGACGACAAUUUAGGUAAAAAAAAGUCAGGAUAAAUAAAAAAAAAAGCAGGACCAAACAGAGUGAAAAAUAAAAAGGCAGGACAGAGAUUACAGCUAAAAAAAAAAUGCAGGACAAAAUUUUUCAUUCUAUCGAAGUGGGGCGUCCGUUUGGCUGUGCGGGAUGUAUCAAGUUCGCAGUCACGUCCGGUCAGAUUGGGGACGUUAAAUCCGAUGUCUCGUGUAAGGAGAGUGCCACGCUCUUUGCACGUUAAGAACCCUUGCAACAACUCUUUGAGGGUCCGUAGGUGGCCUGUUGCAAGGCAAAAUUUCUGUCCCUAUCCAAUAUACCCUCAUUUUCCAGUGGCAGUCCAAAUUUCCCCGAC